Molecule: ribosomal RNA, 480 nt
Filed under: uncultured bacterium
Lineage: Bacteria
Description: partial 16S ribosomal RNA
Rfam family: Bacterial small subunit ribosomal RNA
Source: RNAcentral
GACGAACGCUGGCGGCGUGCUUAACACAUGCAAGUCGAACGAUGAAGAAAAGAAUUGAAGCUUCGGCAGAAAUUCAUUUCGGAUUAGUGGCAGACGGGUGAGUAACGCGUGAGCAACCUACCUCUUACAAAGGGAUAGCCUCGGGAAACCGGGAUUAAUACCAUAUAACAUUGCGACGAAGCAUUUCGAUGCAAUCAAAGCUACGGCGGUAAGAGAUGGGCUCGCGUCCCAUUAACCAGAUGGUGAGGUAACGGCUCACCAUAGUAACGAUGGGUAACCGGCCUGAGAGGGUGAACGGUCACACUGGAACUGAGACACGGUCCAGACUCCUACGGGAGGCAGCAGUGGGGAAUAUUGCACAAUGGAGGGAACUCUGAUGCAGCGACGCCGGGUGAGUGAUGAAGGAAUUCGUUUCGUAAAACUCUGUUCUAUGGGAAGAAAAGGACUGUACCAUAGGAGAAAGCUCCGGCUAAAUACGUG